RNAcentral lists this ribosomal RNA (421 nucleotides) under uncultured Methanospirillum sp. RNAcentral describes it as "bacterial SSU rRNA". It matches the Rfam family "Archaeal small subunit ribosomal RNA", at positions 322 to 747 of the family's 1478-position model. Lineage: Archaea; Methanobacteriati; Methanobacteriota; Methanomicrobia; Methanomicrobiales; Methanospirillaceae. The record is from RNAcentral.
CCUACGGGGGGCAGCAGGCGCGAAAACUUUACCAUGCGGGCAACCGUGAUAAGGAAACCCCGAGUGCCAGCAUAGGCUGGCUGUCCGCCAGUUUAAAAAACUGGUGAAGAAAGGGCCGGGCAAGACCGGUGCCAGCCGCCGCGGUAAUACCGGCGGCUCGAGUGGUGGCCACUAUUACUGGGCUUAAAGGGUCCGUAGCUUGAUAUGCAAGUCUUUUGAGAAAUCCGCCAGCUUAACUGGCGGGCGUUCAGGGGAAACUGCAUUUCUUGGGACCGGGAGAGGUGAGAGGUACUGCCGGGGUAGGAGUGAAAUCCUGUAAUCCCGGUGGGACCACCUAUAGCGAAGGCAUCUCACCAGAACGGGUCCGACAGUGAGGGACGAAAGCUGGGGGAGCAAACCGGAUUAGAUACCCCCGUAGUCC